CUGACCGUAAACUAUGCCAUCUAGCGAGUUUCGGGUGGAUUUUUCGCCCUUGAAACGAGCUUCCCGGAAACGAAAGUCUUUCGGUUCCGGGGGAAGUAUGGUUGCAAAGCUGAAACUUAAAGGGAUUGACGGAAGGUCACCACCAGAAAUGGGGCCUGCGGUUUAAUUUGACUCAACACGGGAAAACUCACCCGGUCCGGACACUAUAAGGAUUGACAGACCGAUAGCUCUUUCAUGAUUUGGUGGUUGGUGGUGCAUGGCCGUUCUUAGUUCGUGGAGUGAUUUGUCUGGUUUAUUCCGAUAACGAACGAGAUUAUAGCCUAGUUAAAUAGACUUCUCCCUAUUGCUGGGAGUCGUCUUCUUAUCGGGAUCUGCGUCUUCUAGACGUACGAAACUUAGCAAUAACAGGUCUGUGAUGCCCUUAGAUGUCCGGGGCUACACGCGCGCCACAAUGGACUGCUCAGUCCGUUGUGUCCAUCCUCGGUAGGGGUUGGUAAGCGUGUCAAAUUAGUCCGUAUUUGGGCUCGGAGAUUGCAAUUAUUCUCCUUAAACAAGGAACUUCAAGUAAGUGUAAGUCAUCAGCUUACGCUG
RNAcentral lists this ribosomal RNA (591 nucleotides) under Panagrolaimoidea sp. NK2011_2. RNAcentral describes it as "bacterial SSU rRNA". It matches the Rfam family "Eukaryotic small subunit ribosomal RNA", at positions 1026 to 1643 of the family's 1831-position model. The record is from RNAcentral. Lineage: Eukaryota; Metazoa; Nematoda; Chromadorea; Rhabditida.